AGUGGCGAACGGGGGCAGUAACACGUGACCAACCUGCCUAGAAGUGGGGGAUAGCUCGCCGAAAGGCGAAUUAAUACCGCAUGUGAUCGUAAGAUUAAAGCAGCAAUGCGCUUUUAGAGGGGGUCGCGGCCUAUCAGCUAGUUGGUGAGGUAAAGGCUUACCAAGGCAGCGACGGGUAGCUGGUCUGAGAGGACGACCAACCACACUGGAACUGAGACACGGUCCAGACACCUACGGGUGGCAGCAGUCGAGAAUUUUUCUCAAUGGGGGAAACCCUGAAGGAGCGACGCCGCGUGGAGGAUGAAGGCUUUCGGGUUGUAAACUCCUGUCAUCUGGGAACAAAACUCGCAAGAGCUUGAUAGUACCAGAAGAGGAAGAGACGGCUAACUCUGUGCCAGCAGCCGCGGUAAUACAGAGGUCUCAAGCGUUGUUCGGAUUCAUUGGGCGUAAAGGGCGCGUAGGCGGCGGGGUAAGUCUGGUGUGAAAUCUCGGAGCUCAACUCCGAAAUUGCACUGGA
RNAcentral lists this ribosomal RNA (517 nucleotides) under uncultured bacterium. Its description in RNAcentral is "bacterial SSU rRNA". It matches the Rfam family "Bacterial small subunit ribosomal RNA", at positions 94 to 630 of the family's 1533-position model. The record is from RNAcentral.